GUUUUCUCCUGCUGGUCUCUGAAAUCCAUGAAGAUAAGAACUGAGUUGUAAUCAUCUUUUUAUCACCUAUUCCACAGACUGUUCAGGAGGCAUGGCUGGGGAGACCUCAGGAAACUUACAAUCAUGGUGGAAGGCGAAGAAGCAGCAAGCACUUCUCACCAUGGCGGAGCAGGAAAGAGCGUGCGAAUGAGGAAGGGCUACACGCUUUUAAACAACUAGAUCUCCUGAGAACUCGUUCACUAUCACCGGAACAGCAAGGGGGAAAUCUGCCCCCGUGACCCAGUCACCUCCUACCAGGCCUCUCUUCCAACACACUAGGAUUAUAAUUCGACAUGGAGAUUUGGGUGAGGACACAGAGCCAAACUAUAUCAGAUAAGACUGAUUUUUAUCCAUACGUAGGCUCAAGCGGUCCUUCUAUUUGCUGACUUGGCAAUUCCCAGGUUAGGUUUGUAAAUGGACUCCUCCGCGGUGCUUCGAAAUAGUUGGCUAUCUUACAAUGAUGUAUUAACAAGAGUCGUUUGCAAGCCUGCUUCUCCGCUGAGAGAGGGAAGGUUUACUGAACUAGAGCCCUGUGAGAAUUGUCACAAUGGCAGAAUUCCUGCAGCCUUGAAUCAAUGGGCAUUUGCUGCCUCUUCUUCCUGGUCUGCCAAAGAUGGCUGGUAGAGACCCAGGAAGGGGAAGAGACUUUUAGAGGAUCUCUGAGUGGAAUUGGGGGAGCUGUGGUUUGCAGAGCCAAGAGGAGAGAGAGGCUCAGUCAGUGCCUGAGCAUUGUAUGCUCGCCUGAACACUAAUUAGAACUAAUUCGAUGAUUGCCAGCGUGCUGGGAGUCUCUUGAAAGAUGAUCCGAUUUGGAGAAAUUCAGCCUGCUCAUUGGAAAUGAAGCUCAUCAGGAGACCUUUUUCUUACUGUCCUCUUGUGAAUGAAAGUGUAUUCCACUUCAAGAAGAUGUGAGGGAAGAAGAAAGCAACCACCUAGUACAGUAUCAUGUUUGGGAGAAAGAAGAAAGGGAAUAGGCUCAAGACUUCUUUUCUUUCCCAGAGUCCUGCAGGAAAGUCAGAAGUCCAACUGGUUGGAUUUACACUGUUUAGUUGGAGGCCACCAUGACCUGGAAGGUAGCUGGCAGCAUGAAAAUGCCUUGCAUGAGAGGACCUUUCCAAUGAGCUCAUUUCGGAAUGUCAAGGGUGGAACCCUAGAAAAGGAGGCAAGCAUAGCUUAGGCAAGUUUCUUUGUGUCUUGGGGAAAAAUCCUAUCUUUUCCAGGGUUUGUCUUUCUAUUUCAUAAUGAUUUUCAUCCCUCUUAUAAAGGUAAAACUUUGAAGGUGAAGAUCUGGGUGUGGGUCUGGGGAAGUGGUUUCAGGAGGUUGCUCAUUCCUCAUUUUAGUCUAGAAGGACAAAAUGAAUCAUGUAACUCAAGUGUGGAUCAGUUCUUCUAACAGAUAGGAUUAAUUAGUAGGAUUGGAAUCAAACUUUGGAUUUAAAAUCAGAGCAAUUAUUUUCUUUAAUCAUGACUAAUACACUGUGUUGAGCAUUGCAGACAGCUGAGUGUGGGGAUGGGGAGAAUAGGGUCUGGGGGCAGUGCUAGGGUAAUAGAGAAAGUAACAAUCCAUGAAAUUAUUCUUUCUCUUUUCUUUCUUCUCCUCUCUUACUUUGGAUGUUACAUGGAACAUUUACACAUUAUCCUUCCACCUUUGUCCCCAUCUUUGUUCUUCUCUCAGAUUUACUAUUAUAUUUAUUCUGUAUUCACCACUAGACAUUCUGGCAGUUUCCCCAGUAAUUCUCUUAUUUGGUUAAAGCCCAUUCUCUGAUGUAGGAAUUGGCAAACUUUUUCUGUUAAAAGGCCAGCUGGUAAAUAUUUUAGGCUUUAUGGACCAUACAGGCUCUGUUGUAACUACUCAGCUCUGCCAUUGCAGUAUAAACACACAUAUAAACAAUACAUAAAUGAAUAGGGUGGCUGUGUUCCACGAAAACAAAAACAGGUGGCAGCUGGAUUUAGCCCACAGGCCCUGGCUGGCUAGCCCCAAUCUAGCAGAUUCCUCAGAAAAGAUUCAAUAGUAUAGUAUUCUUUGAGUUUUUAAAUGUUCUGCUUUAGAUGGUUCUUGAAAGAUACCUGGGCUGGAUGCAGAUUCCUGGAUUCACACUUUUUCUUUUUGAAAAUUGUUUUUAGAUUUGGAGGUACAUGUGCAGAUUUGUUACAUGGGUAAUUGCAUACUUGUGAGGUUUAGACUUCUAGUGAACCCAUCACCCAAAUAAUGAACAUAGCACCCAACACAUAAUUUUUGAACCCCUCCCCUUCUUCCUAAUGUCUGUUGUUUCCAAUUUUAUGUCAUGUGUACCCAUAGUUUAGUUCCUACUUAUGAAUUAGAACACAUGGUAUUUGAUUUUAUGUUUCUGCAUUAAUUCACGUAGGAAAAUGGCUGCCAACUGUAUCUAUGUUGCUGCAAAGGAUAUGAUUUCCUUACUUUUAUGGCUGCAUAGUAUGCCAUGGUGUACAUAUAUUACAUUUUCUUGAUCCAAUUCACUGUUGAUGGACACUUAGGUGGAUUCCAUGACUUUGCUGUUGUUGGCUCACACUUCUUCUUUCUUGAGUCUUCAAGAACUUCUGUUCACUCAUGCUUUCUGUGCUGCUAUUGAGAAGUCUGAUGCCAAUCUGAUUUUUUCUUCUUAUAAAUAAAACUUUUUUUUGCUAUCCUGGAGGCCCAGAAAAUUCCUUUUAUUUUCUUUUGACUUUAAAGCCUAAUAAUUUCUGUGGCAUAUCCUUCAAAGUUAACCAUUCAGAGUAAAUUUUUCCCAAGGUACAUUGUGGGUCUUUUUAAUCUGAAUAUUUAGGUCUUAUUUUAUUUUAGAAUGUUUUCUUGGAUUAUAGUAUUAAAUAUUAGUUCUGUUAUAUUGUUUUAGUUUUCCAGAAAAUAUGUAUGUUGAAUCCUCUUUUAUUAUCUUUCAUAUCUCUUAUUUUCAGAUUUCUUUUGGUCUUUUUCAUUUUAUUUUUGUUCUCCUGACUGAUUCCAUUCCUCUUUUCAAUGUCUCUUUUUAUAGUUUCAGCACAAUCUGUCCUCCUUUUUACUUUAUAAUGUAGCUUUAUUUUCUAAUAUGAUUUUGUCUUUUCCAUCAAUUUCUUUCUUGAGUUCGUUCAUGUUUCAUAUAUCCGUUUUUAUUCCAUUUUGAAUUUCUAAUUAAUGAUAUUGUUUUCUAUUUGCCAUUGCUUGUUUAACUUACUUCAUGCUGGUAUGGUGUAUCAUAGUUUACCUUUAUUUUAUGUGGAAUUGAUAGAACAUUUAAAGCUGAAAAUUUUUGGUGCUCAUUUUUAAUUUCUUCUUAUAGUGAUUUCAUAUGGAUUUUGUGUUCUUUUCCUGUUCAUCCUAAAAGGUCUUAGAUUUUCUGAAAUAGCAAUAAUUAAUGUAUCUAUGAAAGGAUUUGGGGGAUUUGGGUAUCCCUACUGGGUUUCUUUGUUCAAGGGUUCCUUCAUCUGCAUAUAGUUUUUAAAUUAAUAAAAAACUUUCUUUUGAGGGGUAGGUGUUGUUCAACAGUGUCUUCUAAUUCUAUAAUAUACUUCUUUCUUUAUCCUCACUGCUAAAUCUCCAAGGAAUGGCUCUUCUUUCAGGUUGGCUGCCUCUGCUCUGGAUCUAGUGUUUUUUUCAAGACUGCCUUCUUUAUGCCUGUGUACUUUCAAACUGCUUCCCGUAGCUUCUCCAAUUGCUAGUCUACCCUGUCUUAGACAUUUUACUGGCAUUUCCCAUUUAAAGUGGGAUCCUCUCCUAAGCAUGAUGUUAUCUGUGUUUCUCCAUCGCUAGGAUUAUGACGCACUCUCUCUUCUGUGAAGUCUGUCUCCCCAUUCUCUGCUCUGGGAAGAGCCCCAAAGUGGUCUCUGUUAGUUGGAUCUUUAUUUUACUGCUUACAUAAAUAUUAAAGUUUUUAGCGUAGUGUUCUAAUUAU
This is a long non-coding RNA of Papio anubis (olive baboon), 3929 nucleotides long. The record is from Ensembl. NCBI's taxonomy places the organism in Eukaryota, Metazoa, Chordata, Mammalia, Primates, Cercopithecidae.